UUCUUUUUAGUAUAUGAUGUACGUAGGCUUUUGACGCUUAAGGAGUAGUUUAAUUCUAUAAAUGAAG
Molecule: transfer RNA, 67 nt
Filed under: Heterocerus parallelus
Lineage: Eukaryota; Metazoa; Arthropoda; Insecta; Coleoptera; Heteroceridae
Description: tRNA-Gln
Source: RNAcentral